RNAcentral lists this ribosomal RNA (455 nucleotides) under Ohridohauffenia minuta. RNAcentral describes it as "partial 16S ribosomal RNA". It matches the Rfam family "Bacterial large subunit ribosomal RNA", at positions 1839 to 2593 of the family's 2925-position model. Lineage: Eukaryota; Metazoa; Mollusca; Gastropoda; Littorinimorpha; Hydrobiidae. RNAcentral also lists the same sequence under 2 other names. The record is from RNAcentral.
AUUAACAUAAAGAGUCGAACCUGCCCAAUGAUAUUUUUAAAUGGCCGCGGUACUCUGACCGUGCAAAGGUAGCAUAAUCAUUUGCCUUAUAAUUGAAGGCUAGUAUGAACGGUUUGACAAGAGUAGCACUGUCUCUACUAAAUUUUAUAGAAUUUGGUUUUUAGGUGAAGAAACCUAAAUAAAAUUGAAAGACAAGAAGACCCUAUCGAGCUUUAAAAAAUUUUUCUUAAAGAUUUUAGUUGGGGCGACUAAGGAACAACAAAAGCUUCUUUUUUAUAUAUAAACUUAUAUGUUUUGAUCCAAAAAAAUGAUUAAUAGAAUUAGUUACCGUAGGGAUAACAGCAUAAUCUUUUUUGAGAGUUCUUAUCGAAAAAAAGGUUUGUGACCUCGAUGUUGGACUAGGAUAUCCUAAAGGUGUAGAAGCCUUUAAAGGUUGGUCUGUUCGACCAUUAACA